UACAGAGGGUGUGAGCGUUGUCCGGAAUUACUGGGCGUAAAGGGCGCGUAGGCGGCCUGAUAAGUCGGGGGUGAAAUUCAGCGGCUCAACCGCUGGACUGCCUUCGAGACUGUCGGGCUCGAGCACGGUAGAGGCUGGUGGAAUUUCCGGUGUAGCGGUGGAAUGCGUAGAGAUCGGGAAGAACAUCGGUGGCGAAGGCGGCCAGCUGGGCCGUUGCUGACGCUGAGGCGCGACAGCGUGGGGAGCAAACAGG
This 253-nucleotide ribosomal RNA is filed under the name uncultured bacterium. RNAcentral's name for it is "partial 16S ribosomal RNA". It matches the Rfam family "Bacterial small subunit ribosomal RNA", at positions 524 to 776 of the family's 1533-position model. The record is from RNAcentral.